This 449-nucleotide ribosomal RNA is filed under the name uncultured bacterium. Its description in RNAcentral is "bacterial SSU rRNA". It matches the Rfam family "Bacterial small subunit ribosomal RNA", at positions 29 to 524 of the family's 1533-position model. The record is from RNAcentral.
AACGAACGCUGGCGGCAUGCCUAACACAUGCAAGUCGAACGAAGCCUUCGGGCUUAGUGGCGCACGGGUGCGUAACGCGUGGGAAUCUGCCCUUGGGUUCGGAAUAACAGUUAGAAAUGACUGCUAAUACCGAAUGAUGUCUUCGGACCAAAGAUUUAUCGCCCAAGGAUGAGCCCGCGUCGGAUUAGCUAGUUGGUGAGGUAAAGGCUCACCAAGGCGACGAUCCGUAGCUGGUCUGAGAGGAUGAUCAGCCACACUGGGACUGAGACACGGCCCAGACUCCUACGGGAGGCAGCAGUGGGGAAUAUUGGACAAUGGGCGAAAGCCUGAUCCAGCAAUGCCGCGUGAGUGAUGAAGGCUUAGGGUUGUAAAGCUCUUUCACCCGGGAUGAUAAUGACAGUACCGGGAGAAUAAGCCCCGGCUAACUCCGUGCCAGCAGCCGCGGUAAU